GAUGAACGCUGGCGGCGUGCCUAACACAUGCAAGUCGAGCGUGAACCCUGCGAAUGAAACUUCGGUCGAUUUUGCAGGGGGAAAGCGGCGGACGGGUGAGUAACGCGUAGGUAACCUGCCCCAUACUGAGGGAUAGCCUCGGGAAACCGGGAUUAAUACCUCAUAACACCGUAUAUUCGCAUGGAUGUGCGGUCAAAGAUUUAUCGGUAUGGGAUGGGCCUGCGUCUGAUUAGCUGGUUGGUGGGGUAACGGCCUACCAAGGCGACGAUCAGUAGCCGACCUGAGAGGGUGAUCGGCCACAUUGGAACUGAGACACGGUCCAAACUCCUACGGGAGGCAGCAGUGGGGAAUAUUGCACAAUGGGCGAAAGCCUGAUGCAGCAACGCCGCGUGAGCGAAGAAGGCCUUUGGGUCGUAAAGCUCUGUCAGGUAGGAAGAUAAUGACGGUACUACCCGAGGAAGCCCCGGCUAACUACGUGCCAGCAGCCGCGUAAUCAUACUCG
Molecule: ribosomal RNA, 502 nt
Filed under: uncultured bacterium
Lineage: Bacteria
Description: bacterial SSU rRNA
Rfam family: Bacterial small subunit ribosomal RNA
Source: RNAcentral